This 253-nucleotide ribosomal RNA is filed under the name uncultured bacterium. RNAcentral's name for it is "partial 16S ribosomal RNA". It matches the Rfam family "Bacterial small subunit ribosomal RNA", at positions 524 to 776 of the family's 1533-position model. The record is from RNAcentral.
UACGUAGGGUGCGAGCGUUGUCCGGAAUUACUGGGCGUAAAGAGCUCGUAGGUGGUUUGUCGCGUUGUUCGUGAAAACUCACAGCUCAACUGUGGGCGUGCGGGCGAUACGGGCAGACUAGAGUACUGCAGGGGAGACUGGAAUUCCUGGUGUAGCGGUGAAAUGCGCAGAUAUCAGGAGGAACACCGGUGGCGAAGGCGGAUCUCUGGGCCAUUACUGACGCUGAGGAGCGAAAGCGUGGGGAGCGAACAGG